Molecule: non-coding RNA, 24 nt
Filed under: Arabidopsis thaliana (thale cress)
Lineage: Eukaryota; Viridiplantae; Streptophyta; Magnoliopsida; Brassicales; Brassicaceae
Source: RNAcentral
AGGAACAUUCAAAGAUGCAAGUUC